GUGGGUCCAAUAAAAAUCCACAUUAAAGUAAAAUUCAGCCCAGCCCAAUUCUAGAAACCUUUAUUAAAAGACCCUUCAGGUAGGGUUUUCUAAUUCGACACUCUCCUCAUUUCCUCCUCCAUGUCUCCUCUGAGAGAGUUUGUCAACUAAGCCGCCUAUCUUCUUCAUCUGUGGAUCAUCAAUUCCCCUUUGGGUAAUGGUUUAUUAAUGAGCAGAGAAUCAACUCACAAAGAUAUCUUGGGUUUUUUUCGAAUUCGACAGGGGUGUCUAGUCAUGACUCUUAGUUGAGUAAGCUCUUUAUAGUGAUGAAAAUAUCCACGAUGCUCAGACGUUUCCUUCUUUACAACUCCUCCUCAAGAUCAGAUCUCCCAAUCCAUAUUUGUCCCUCUGGUCCUCGAAUUUUGCUGGUGACUAGCUCCUUUUGAAGACGUAUGAACUUUCUCUCGGAUUUCCUCUACUAGCUUCAUGUGUAUUGCACUUCAUCCAUCCUUGCUCUGGUAAUAUCAUUCAUCAUCGCUCUGGUAAUAUCAUCCAUUGUCGCUCUGGUUUUUCUGUCAAGUGAUUACAUUUAUUCAGUAAGUGAUGAAGGGAAGACCUAUAUUGUAUUCUUGGAAAAGAAAACUUGCAAUUGCAGAUGAACAUUGGUCAGACUUUUACAAGGCAUAAAUAAUAUUAUAAACAUAUGAAGUAAAUGGAAUAUACCUGAACACAUUUCUACUAAAGUUGUUUUGCCACCAAAAUACAAAAGACCUCUGGAAAGGCCAAAGAAGCAACAGGAGAAGUCAUUUAGCGAGUAAACUUAAAGGAAGAGUACGAAUUAUUGUAGUACAUGUGGAAAAUGUGGUCAUAAUAGGCAGUUCAUGUCGAACUACAACACGGAAUACAUAGGACCUGAUAUAUGUCAUUAUUGAAGUGUAUUUUUACUUAAUUAUCGUUAUGUCGAAUAGAUGAAUAAAAUAAUUCUUAUUUGCCUUUUAAAAUA
Molecule: long non-coding RNA, 982 nt
Organism: Solanum lycopersicum (tomato)
Lineage: Eukaryota; Viridiplantae; Streptophyta; Magnoliopsida; Solanales; Solanaceae
Source: RefSeq, a predicted model, not a curated record